UAUCUCUCCAUACGGGGAAGGGUGAGAAGCUUCGACUAAGGUUCGAUUCGAGCGCAGCGAGAAAGCGUUGCCGCAGGCAACGACCCGAAGGGUGAGGAGCGGAGCGACGAAUAAUCCUUCCCCCACCACCA
Molecule: small RNA, 131 nt
Filed under: Salmonella enterica
Lineage: Bacteria; Pseudomonadati; Pseudomonadota; Gammaproteobacteria; Enterobacterales; Enterobacteriaceae
Also listed under: 6 other names
Description: RtT sRNA
Rfam family: RtT RNA
About the family: This family represents a bacterial cis-regulatory element known as RtT RNA. The exact function of RtT is unknown although it is thought that it may be involved in changing the cellular response in relation to amino acid starvation.
Source: RNAcentral